This 236-nucleotide ribosomal RNA is filed under the name uncultured bacterium. RNAcentral's name for it is "partial 16S ribosomal RNA". It matches the Rfam family "Bacterial small subunit ribosomal RNA", at positions 15 to 244 of the family's 1533-position model. The record is from RNAcentral.
GAUCAUGGCUCAGGAUGAACGCUAGCUACAGGCUUAACACAUGCAAGUCGAGGGGCAGCAUGUUGGUUGCUUGCAACCAAUGAUGGCGACCGGCGCACGGGUGAGUAACGCGUAUCCAACCUACCCUUGUCCAUCGGAUAACCCGUCGAAAGGCGGCCUAACACGAUAUGCGGUUCACAGCAGGUAUCUAACGUGAACGAAAUGUAAAGGAGAAGGAUGGGGAUGCGUCUGAUUAG